AGCAGCCGCGGUAAUUCCAGCUCCAAUAGCGUAUAUUAAAGUUGUUGCAGUUAAAAAGCUCGUAGUUGAAUUUCGGGGUCAGUAGGUUGGUCAUGCCUUUGGUAUGUACUGGUCUCACUGAUUCCUCCCUCUUGAAGAACUGUAAUGUCAUUAAUUUGGUGUUGCGGGGAAUCAGGACUGUUACUUUGAAAAAAUUAGAGUGUUUAAAGCAGGCUUACGCUUGAAUACAUUAGCAUGGAAUAAUGAAAUAGGACGUUUGAUCCUAUUUUGUUGGUUUCUAGGAUUGACGUAAUGAUUAAUAGGGAUAGUUGGGGGCAUUAGUAUUCAAUUGUCAGAGGUGAAAUUCUUGGAUUUAUUGAAGACUAACUACUGCGAAAGCAUUUGCCAAGGAUGUUUUCAUUAAUCAAGAACGAAAGUUAGGGGAUCGAAGACGAUCAGAUACCGUCGUAGUCUUAACCAUAAACUAUGCCGACUAGGGAUCGGAUGAUGUUAAUUUUUUCAAUGACUCAUUCGGCGCCUC
This 520-nucleotide ribosomal RNA is filed under the name uncultured Glomus. RNAcentral's name for it is "SSU rRNA". It matches the Rfam family "Eukaryotic small subunit ribosomal RNA", at positions 569 to 1089 of the family's 1831-position model. Lineage: Eukaryota; Fungi; Glomeromycota; Glomeromycetes; Glomerales; Glomeraceae. The record is from RNAcentral.